Molecule: long non-coding RNA, 1223 nt
Organism: Eriocheir sinensis (Chinese mitten crab)
Lineage: Eukaryota; Metazoa; Arthropoda; Malacostraca; Decapoda; Varunidae
Exons: 3
Source: RefSeq, a predicted model, not a curated record
CGAGAACGUGGGAUACAGGAACACGUCUGAGGAGUACCGAUUGUACUCCAGCCGUGAUUUGUGUGGUUCGUGAAGUCAAGGCCAACCGGUUAUGAGGCGCGGAAAGGCCAGGCACACGGACCACGCCGGAUAACAGUAAAAGUACCGGUACGCCCACUGAGCUGCUGACCACCAGUGACAACCAACAACACUGCGCAAAGUGUUUCCCUGGGUACCCAUCUACUGACCAGCCCACGAGGGAGGUGCGGGAGCCCUGUGUAAACAAACAGCUGCUCUGCCUGUGGCAGGAUAUUUGAAAUGUCAACUCACUACUUAACCAUGUAUUAGUAAAAUUACUGGCCUGAUUGUGAGUGCGAGUGGUAAUAAGUUGCAUAUGUCAUAACUGGAGGACUACCUGUACAGCUCAUGGAAUGCACACAGGACACCAAUAAGUGGAUGUGUCUGAACAGGGUCUCCCAAGGAGGUAUAAAGGGUGGAGUCAACAACAGUACCUGAAUUGUGAAGCAGACAAACUGUCAUUCUCUUGCCAUAAAGAUGGCAGAUACCUGUCAUGUGUCAGGUUAGACUCAUCAGGUCACACUCUACCUGGGUUUCCAUGGUGUGAAAUGACCAUAGCAGACUCAAUUUUUAGUUCAGGUAUGAGACCUUAGUAUUGCUAAUCAAAGCUGUUGCUGAAACCUGUUUACAGGCGAGGUAUUCCUAUUCCGGAAAAGUUUAGAGAGAAUCACUGCUUUAAAAGCUGUUAAAAGUAGGAAUACUAUGAAUAUCUUAGUGCUGUUUGGUGGUAGAUCAACAUGUAAGUAAAGGAGCUUGCAAAAUUUCGGAGUUGAUUUCUGUUUCUAUUUAGUAUGUACAAAAUAUAUCUACUGCAUAUUAGGUGUAUGGUACUUAAAAAAAAAGACAUGGCCUAGAGGCAGAAACUAAGGUGGUGGGCGUGAGUUCUCAUCCAGGUAUCCGACAGGUGAGCAAAAUGACAGUUUGGCGGCUUCACCUCACUCCCUGGGAUUAGCAGGCCAUGUCGACUCCACCCUUUAUACCUCCAUGGGGUCUCCAACAGACAGCACAUUGCCAACUCAAGCCUAUAUGACUUUCCUGUAUUUCACCAUGGGAUGCUGCCAUGCUAAGAUUUAUUUCAUAUUUUUAAUGUGCCAACUUAUGUGUAAUUACAACUUAAGAGGUUUUACCGUACUUGAAAGUAGAAAUUUUUGUAGUAAAACUGCUUA